This 286-nucleotide long non-coding RNA is filed under the name Gossypium raimondii (Peruvian cotton). RNAcentral's name for it is "long non-coding RNA (GRAI_LNC000919)". Lineage: Eukaryota; Viridiplantae; Streptophyta; Magnoliopsida; Malvales; Malvaceae. The record is from RNAcentral.
CUACCCACAAAAAAAGAUAUGCAAAACAUACAAAAAUACUAAAUACAGUCAGAUUCAGAUUCAGACUCAUGUCCAUUUCAGAUACAGAUAACAGUUACAGAUAUGCAUAUCCGAUAUACAGAAUCCUACCCCCAUCCUUUACACACCAAUUUCGACUAUCCCAGCACACCAUGUAGGGUAAAAAAACACCCACCCAUCCUUACACACCAUAUCGUGCCAUUAAGACACAUACAAGAUAAAGUGGAGCCAAGCUGCCAGAAUAUAGGCGAAGGUCGCCUUAUAGAAC